GUCGUAAUAUAUGGUGUCCCAAAACGGAGAGUGGAUAAGAUGCCAAAAGGAAUGGGGACAGAGGGGAAUAGCGUGGAACAAAGUUAUCCUCUGGAUGGUGUGGACUAGUUAUCCCCUCGUGAACCCAAUCAUUGCUAUCCCAGGCGCGCGUGCGACGACAGAGCGGCCGGGCCACGGCGGGAUCCCGUUGCUCGCCGCUCGGCCCCCUUGUCCACCAUAACCCC
This 224-nucleotide long non-coding RNA is filed under the name Elaeis guineensis (African oil palm). RNAcentral describes it as "long non-coding RNA (EGUI_LNC024336)". The record is from RNAcentral. Lineage: Eukaryota; Viridiplantae; Streptophyta; Magnoliopsida; Arecales; Arecaceae.